GUCUUUCGGCCAUCGCGGGCGGUGAAGAUGUUGCCGAGCGGCUUGUCGCCUUUGACGAGGAGGCGGAGCUUGCUCUGGUCGUUGCCGGACUUCAUGCGCAGCUCGCGUUCCUCGACACCGCUCGCCUUGAGGCCGAUGAUCAUGCCGACCGCCUCGGCGCUCUCGUUCAGCGCGGCAUCCGACUCGUUUUGCGCCACGGAGACGCUG
RNAcentral lists this unclassified non-coding RNA (207 nucleotides) under fungal sp. Its description in RNAcentral is "partial internal transcribed spacer region". Lineage: Eukaryota; Fungi. The record is from RNAcentral.